RNAcentral lists this ribosomal RNA (649 nucleotides) under Vibrio neocaledonicus. Its description in RNAcentral is "bacterial SSU rRNA". It matches the Rfam family "Bacterial small subunit ribosomal RNA", at positions 67 to 718 of the family's 1533-position model. The record is from RNAcentral. Lineage: Bacteria; Pseudomonadati; Pseudomonadota; Gammaproteobacteria; Vibrionales; Vibrionaceae.
CGGGGGACGAUAACGGCGUCGAGCGGCGGACGGGUGAGUAAUGCCUAGGAAAUUGCCCUGAUGUGGGGGAUAACCAUUGGAAACGAUGGCUAAUACCGCAUGAUGCCUACGGGCCAAAGAGGGGGACCUUCGGGCCUCUCGCGUCAGGAUAUGCCUAGGUGGGAUUAGCUAGUUGGUGAGGUAAGGGCUCACCAAGGCGACGAUCCCUAGCUGGUCUGAGAGGAUGAUCAGCCACACUGGAACUGAGACACGGUCCAGACUCCUACGGGAGGCAGCAGUGGGGAAUAUUGCACAAUGGGCGCAAGCCUGAUGCAGCCAUGCCGCGUGUGUGAAGAAGGCCUUCGGGUUGUAAAGCACUUUCAGUCGUGAGGAAGGUGGUGUCGUUAAUAGCGGCAUUACUUGACGUUAGCGACAGAAGAAGCACCGGCUAACUCCGUGCCAGCAGCCGCGGUAAUACGGAGGGUGCGAGCGUUAAUCGGAAUUACUGGGCGUAAAGCGCAUGCAGGUGGUUUGUUAAGUCAGAUGUGAAAGCCCGGGGCUCAACCUCGGAAUAGCAUUUGAAACUGGCAGACUAGAGUACUGUAGAGGGGGGUAGAAUUUCAGGUGUAGCGGUGAAAUGCGUAGAGAUCUGAAGGAAUACCGGUGGCGA